GCCAGACUCCUACGGGAGGCAGCAGUGGGGAAUAUUGCACAAUGGGGGAAACCCUGAUGCAGCGACGCCGCGUGAAGGAAGAAGUAUUUCGGUAUGUAAACUUCUAUCAGCAGGGAAGAAAAUGACGGUACCUGACUAAGAAGCCCCGGCUAACUACGUGCCAGCAGCCGCGGUAAUACGUAGGGGGCAAGCGUUAUCCGGAUUUACUGGGUGUAAAGGGAGCGUAGGCGGCGAUGCAAGUCAGAAGUGAAAGCCCGGGGCUCAACUCCGGGACUGCUUUUGAAACUGUGUUGCUAGAUUGCAGGAGAGGUAAGUGGAAUUCCUAGUGUAGCGGUGAAAUGCGUAGAUAUUAGGAGGAACACCAGUGGCGAAGGCGGUCUGCUGGACAGCAACUGACGCUGAGGCGCGAAAGCGUGGGGAGCAAACAGGAUUAGAUACCCGGGUAC
This 446-nucleotide ribosomal RNA is filed under the name uncultured bacterium. Its description in RNAcentral is "bacterial SSU rRNA". It matches the Rfam family "Bacterial small subunit ribosomal RNA", at positions 330 to 793 of the family's 1533-position model. The record is from RNAcentral.